GACCCACUCGCUUAAUCGGUAAAGCAACUCCCUUCAUAAGCACCUUGGCAUAGGGUGUUUAUGAAGGAGUAGCUCUGAGUUCGAGUCUCAGGUGGGUCA
This 99-nucleotide transfer RNA is filed under the name Venatoribacter cucullus. RNAcentral's name for it is "Oceanospirillaceae bacterium xL5 tRNA-OTHER". It matches the Rfam family "tRNA". From Rfam's summary of the family: Transfer RNA (tRNA) molecules are approximately 80 nucleotides in length. Lineage: Bacteria; Pseudomonadati; Pseudomonadota; Gammaproteobacteria; Oceanospirillales; Oceanospirillaceae. The record is from RNAcentral.